GUGGGGGAUAUUGCACAAUGGGGGAAACCCUGAUGCAGCGACGCCGCGUGGAGGAAGAAGGUUUUCGGAUUGUAAACUCCUGUCGUUAGGGACGAUAAUGACGGUACCUAACAAGAAAGCACCGGCUAACUACGUGCCAGCAGCCGCGGUAAAACGUAGGGGGCAAGCGUUGUCCGGAAUUACUGGGUGUAAAGGGAGCGCAGGCGGGAAGACAAGUUGGAAGUGAAAACCAUGGGCUCAACCCAUGAAUUGCUUUCAAAACUGUUUUUCUUGAGUAGUGCAGAGGUAGAUGGAAUUCCCGGUGUAGCGGUGGAAUGCGUAGAUAUCGGGAGGAACACCAGUGGCGAAGGCGGUCUACUGGGCACCAACUGACGCUGAGGCUCGAAAGCAUGGGUAGCAAACAGGAUUAGAUACCCGUGUAGUCC
This 425-nucleotide ribosomal RNA is filed under the name uncultured bacterium. Its description in RNAcentral is "partial 16S ribosomal RNA". It matches the Rfam family "Bacterial small subunit ribosomal RNA", at positions 354 to 796 of the family's 1533-position model. The record is from RNAcentral.